GCUGGGACUGACGCUCAGGCACGAAAGCGUGGGGAUCAAACAGGAUUAGAUACCCUGGUAGUCCACGCAGUAAACGAUGAAGACUUGUUGUCGGCGAUAGACAGUCGGUGACAAAGCGAAAGCGAUAAGUCUUCCACCUGGGGAGUACGAUCGCAAGGUUGAAACUCAAAGGAAUUGACGGGGGCCCGCACAAGCGGAGGAGCAUGUGGUUUAAUUCGAUGAUACGCGAGGAACCUUACCUGGACUCAAAUGUUGGAUGACCGUUCCAGAAAUGGGACUUCCCUUCGGGGCAUCCAGCAAGGUGCUGCAUGGUUGUCGUCAGCUCGUGCCGUGAGGUGUCAGGUUAAGUCCUAUAACGAGCGCAACCCCUACGUCCAGUUGCCAGCGGGUAAAGCCGGGGACUCUGGAGGGACUGCCGGCGCAAGCCGAGAGGAAGGUGGGGAUGACGUCAAAUCAGCACGGCCCUUACGUCCAGGGCGACACACGUGCUACAAUGGCCGGUACAGAGGGCAGCCACCCCGCGAGGGGGAGCGAAUCUCGAAAGCCGGUCUCAGUUCGGAUCGGAGUCUGCAACUCGACUCCGUGAAGUUGGAUUCGCUAG
RNAcentral lists this ribosomal RNA (601 nucleotides) under uncultured bacterium. RNAcentral describes it as "bacterial SSU rRNA". It matches the Rfam family "Bacterial small subunit ribosomal RNA", at positions 733 to 1338 of the family's 1533-position model. The record is from RNAcentral.